AAAUCUUGACAUCUAACUGAUCGCUCCGUAAUUGGAGUUUUCCUUUCGGGGACAGUUAAGACAGGUGGUGCAUGGUUGUCGUCAGCUCGUGUCGUGAGAUGUUGGGUUAAGUCCCGCAACGAGCGCAACCCUUAUCUCUAGUAGCCAGCAUUUCGGAUGGGGACUCUAGAGAGACUGCCGGGGACAACUCGGAGGAAGGUGGGGAUGACGUCAAAUCAUCAUGCCCCUUAUGAUUUGGGCUACACACGUGCUACAAUGGUGGUGACAAAGGGAAGCAAAAGAGUGAUCUUAAGCAAACCUCAAAAAAGCCAUCUCAGUUCGGAUUGUAGUCUGCAACUCGACUACAUGAAGC
RNAcentral lists this ribosomal RNA (352 nucleotides) under uncultured bacterium. RNAcentral describes it as "bacterial SSU rRNA". It matches the Rfam family "Bacterial small subunit ribosomal RNA", at positions 976 to 1326 of the family's 1533-position model. The record is from RNAcentral.